This 420-nucleotide long non-coding RNA is filed under the name Nicotiana benthamiana. RNAcentral's name for it is "long non-coding RNA (NBEN_LNC040427)". Lineage: Eukaryota; Viridiplantae; Streptophyta; Magnoliopsida; Solanales; Solanaceae. The record is from RNAcentral.
UAGGUGAGGUGGAAAAUCUGCAGAACGGUGAUAUCAGUAUGGUACUUGAGGACGAGGAUGGACAAGAAGAAAAUGACGAGGAAGUAGGAUGGGAUCUUGAGGAUCUGGAUCUGCCACCUGAUACUGACACACCAAAAACUGCUUCAAACGCUCGCUCUUCUGUUUUUGUUACCCCAACCCCUGGCAUGCCUGUGAGCCAGAUUUGGGUCCAAAAAUCAUCUCUUGCUGCUGAACGCUCGCUCUUCUGUUUUUGCUACCCCAACCCCUGGCAUGCCUGUGAGCCAGAUUUGGGUCCAAAAAUCAUCUCUUGCUGCUGAACAUGCAACUGCUGGCAAUUUCGACACUGCUAUGCGGUUGCUGAGUCGGCAACUAGGGAUUAAGAAUUUCUCUCCUUUAAAGCAAUUGUUUGCUGAUCUACAU